RNAcentral lists this unclassified non-coding RNA (1751 nucleotides) under Hevea brasiliensis (rubber tree). Lineage: Eukaryota; Viridiplantae; Streptophyta; Magnoliopsida; Malpighiales; Euphorbiaceae. The record is from RNAcentral.
GGCUUCAGUCCGCUGCACGUAGUUGAACUUUGAUCCGUCAGAAAUUUAUAGAAGAAAAAUUAUCAUUGAAGAUAUUAAAAAGCAAUUGAAGUCCCUCUGGAAAUUGGAAGAGAUGUAUUGGCAUCAAAAAUCUCGCAUUAACUGGUUGAAUUGUGGGGGCAAAAACACCGAGUUUUUCCACUCAACAAUAUCUCAAAGAAGACAACGGAAUCAAAUUAUCUCCAUCAGAGAUAAAUGGGGGGUCAAAAUAAUAGAUGAGGCGCAAAUCAUGAAUGAAGUGGUGCCCUUUUUCUCUAAUCUCUUCCAGGCUAAGGAGGUGGAAGUCUCUGAUUCAAUUUUACAAUCCAUUCCCAACCUGGUUUUGGUUGAUAUAAAUACUUCACUUUGUGCUCCAGUCUCCGAAGAGGAAGUGAGACCAGCUGUUUUCGGGUUAGAAGCGGGUAAAGCGCCUGGUCCUGACGGUCUUCAGGAACUGUUCUACCAUCAUAAUUGGGCAAUGGUGAAGGAUGCAGUGUUCAAUAUGGUUAAUGAUUUUUUUUUCACUCUGGUGUUUUACCCAACCAGUUGAACUCAAAAAACUUGGUCCUUAUCCCCAAAUGCAAUAAUCCUCAAUCUUUCUCUGAAUUUAGACCCAUAAGCUUGUGUAAAUUCUCUUACAAAAUCAUCUCCAAGCUGCUGGCUAAUAGAUUGAAACCAUGGUUGAAUGAUAUAAUUUCUCCUCUUCAAUCUGCGUUUGUCCCCAACAGGAAUAUCCAAGAUAAUAUCAUUAUAGCCCAUGAGGCUUUUCAUGGCCUCAAAUCCAGGAAGAAAGGGAAGAUAGGAGCAAUGGCAAUCAAGGUGGAUAUUCAUAAAGCGUACUAUAGUGUCAAUUGGGACUUUCUCCUUGCUGUUAUGAGAAGGUUGGGCUUCUGUGACAAGUGGAUUUCUUGGAUUUUCCAGUGCAUAUCAACUGUUCAUUACUCAGUGGUCAUUAAUGGUAGUGCUUCGAAUCCUUUUCACCCUACUAGGGGCUUAAAACAAGAUGAUACCAUUUUAUUCGGCAAGGCAUCAAUAGAGGAAGCUUCUCAGUUAAACCGUGUUUUAUUGGAGUAUAGCAGGGCUUCGGGUCAAUGUGUUAAUCAAUCCAAAUUUGAUAUUACUUUCAGCUCUAACACGCCCCUUCAUCUUCAAAAAGAUAUUGCUUCCUUGUUGAAUAUUCCUAAUUCAGGAUCUUUAAACAAGUAUUUGGGCCUACCUGUAGCUUGGGGAAGAUCGAAGUACCAAGCUCUCUCCUUUUUGAAAGACCGAGUUCUCAACAAGCUUCAAGGAUGGAAGAGCAAAUGUUUAUCGCAAGCAGGUAGAGAAGUUUUAAUUAAGGCUGUUGUGCAAGUUUUAAUUAUGGGUUUCAAAGAACUGGAUUUAUUUAAUGAUGCCCUACUAGCUAAACAAGCCUGGAGAAUUUUCAAGUGCCCACAAGCUAUGUGGGUUCGAAUUCUAAAAGGAAUUUAUUUUCCUUAUACAAAUUUUCUUGAUGCAAGAAAGGGUCACAAUGCGUCAUGGGGCUGGAGGAGCAUGAUCGUAGGUAGGGAAGCCAUCCGGCCAGGGAUUAGAUGGAAUGUGAUAGGUCCCUGCCAAAUUUUAGAAUUUCUACUAGCAGACCUCAUGAUAGUCCUAUCCUCUAUGUUGCUGAUAUUAUUAAUCCACACUCAAAGCAAUGGGAUUAUAACAUGUAUGCAUCAUUCUGUUAUUAGUAUGCCUUAGAGCAUAUCAUU